Molecule: transfer RNA, 89 nt
Filed under: Rubus hybrid cultivar
Lineage: Eukaryota; Viridiplantae; Streptophyta; Magnoliopsida; Rosales; Rosaceae
Description: tRNA-Ala
Source: RNAcentral
AAAUAGAUCGAUCGGCGGAUUCGUUCCAAUUGAAUUGGAACUGCUAUGUAGACUUUUGUUUACCGAGGGUUCGAAUCCCUCUCUUUCCG